AUGGUGGGAUCAAAGAAGUUCCGAGGGGUCAGAGAACGCCAUCCGGGAUCCUGGAUAUCUGAGAUUCGCCAUCCAUUACUGAAAAGGAGGGUGUGGCUUGGGACAUUUGAGAGUGCAGAAGAAGCAGCACGAGCCUACGACGAGGCUGCAAUUCUGAUGAGCGGCCGAAAUGCCAAAACAAACUUUCCAGUCACUACAACUGAAACUGAAGCUGCUAAUAAUAGCAAUAUCAAUUCCAAUUCCAGCAGUAGUACUAGUACUUCUUCAUUGUCUGCAAUCCUCAGCGCCAAGCUUCGCAACUGCUGCAAGUCUCUGACGUCUGGUUCCUUCACUUGCCUCAGGCUCGACACCGAGAAUUCCCAAAUCGGUGUUUGGCAAAAGCGCCCCGGGCCACGCUCAGAAUCGAUCGAAUUGGCUGAUGAUAGUGGAGCUGGGACAGAAGAGUGGUUUACAUGCGGAGAAGGCUGAAAGUACUAGUGCUCCUCAAUUAUCCCAUGAAAACCAAGCUCUUCUGGCCGAGGAGGAAAGGAUUGCAUUGCAGAUGAUAGAGGAACUAGUAAGUCAACUGAAGCCUACGGGGGUGAAAGAGGGCCUCGUCUUGCUGAAGAGUGAAGACACCCUCCGAUUCCGUCCUCUUCACUUUCUUUCAGUUUCUGCAGCUCUUGUCUGCAAACUAGGAAUGGCUAAACAGAACCCUGAUGAAGCAUCUUCAUCUUCGCGUUCCUCAAACUCAAAACAUUGGAUGUACGACGUGUUCUUGAGCUUCAGAGGCCAAGACACACGUCACAGCUUCACCAGCCGUCUCUACUCGGCACUGAAAGAGGCCCAAGUCAACGCUUUCAUCGACGACAAAGAACUCAGAAGAGGGGAAAAAAUCUCAUCCGACCUGCUUCGUGCAAUCCAGGGGUCCAGAGUUUCUGUGAUCGUCUUCUCCAGGAGGUAUGGGGAUUCGAGUUGGUGCCUUGAGGAACUGGUCAAGAUCAUGGAGUGUAGAAGAACACUUGGUCAAAUGGUUUUCCCAGUUUUCGUUGACGUUAAUCCUUCCGAUGUGAGAAGACAGACUGGUAGUUUUGCAGUGGCAUUUCAGAAGCAUGAAGGGCGUUACGUGUUGGAGAAGGAAAAGGUACUCAGGUGGAGAAGUGCUCUUACUGAAGCUGCACAUUUGUCUGGCUGGGAUCUUAGAAACACUGCAGAUAGGCAUGAAGGGAAGUUUAUCAAGAUAAUUGUUGGGGAGGUUAGUAGACACUUGAACAACACUUACUUAUUUGAAGCCGUGUACCCAGUUGGAAUCGAUUCUCGGGUAGAGGAUAUGAGCAAGCUUUUAGGUGUUGGAUUAGAUGAUGUUCGCAUGAUUGGCAUAUGGGGCAUGGGUGGAAUUGGGAAAACAACAGUUGCUAAAGCCAUUUUUAACAAAUUUUGUGGGAGCUUUGAAGGUAGAAGUUUUCUAGCAAAUGUCAGGGAAGCAACAAAGCAGCCAAAUGGUCUGGUUCGUUUGCAAGAACAACUUCUUUUUGAUGUCUUGAGAACAACCAAGAUAAAGGUUGGUAGUGUUGAUGGAGGGAUCAAUGUGAUAAAAGAGAGACUUCGAUGUAGAAGGGUACUUGUCAUAAUUGAUGAUAUAGAUCAACUAGAUGAUCUCUAUGCAAUAGCUGGAAACCAUGACUGGUUUGGUUCGGGAAGUAGAAUUGUUAUCACCACAAGAGAUGAACAUUUGCUAAAACUACUGAAAGUAGAUUCAAUAUAUUCGGCUACAGAAAUGAAUGAAGAUGAAGCUCUUCAGCUCUUUACUUGGCAUGCCUUCAGAAAGAGUAAUCAUGAUGAAGGAUUUUUUGAAGUAUCAAGUAGUGUAGUUGCCUACUGCGGAGGUUUGCCGGUAGCUCUUGAAAUUCUAGGAUCUUUGUUGCUAGGAAGAAGCAUGCCCGAGUGGAAAAGCGUGUUGGGGAAAUUGAAAAGAGUUCCUCAUGGCCAAAUUCAGGAAAAGCUUAAGAUAAGCUUUGAUGGGCUAAGUGAUGAUAAACAGAAGGAUAUAUUCCUUGACAUAUCCUGUUUCUUUAUAGGAAUGGACAAGAACUAUGUCAUACAAAUAUUGGAUGGUUGUAAUCUCUUUGCCAAAAUUGGAAUCAGUGGUCUCCUAGAGCGACGCCUUGUGACUGUUUGUGAAAGAAACAAGCUGGGGAUGCAUGAUUUGCUUCGAGACAUGGGCAGAGAAAUUGUUCGAACAAAUUCCCCUAAUGACCCUGGAAAGUGUAGUAGAUUGUGGAACCCUGAAGAUGUAAUGGAUGUAUUCAAAGAACACUCGGGAACUGAAGAAAUUCAAGGACUCGCUCUAACUUUGUCGGGAUCUGACAAGGCGUGUUUCAGUACAAAUGUAUUUAAAAAUAUGAAGCGAUUGAGAUUGCUUCAUCUCAAAUACGUAGAGCUCACUGGAGGCUAUGGAGAUCUUUCCAAAAAGUUAAGGUGGUUGUGCUGGCAUGGAUUUCCUCUAAAGUUCCUUCCGAAUGAGUUUAAUCUACCAAAUGUUGUUGUUAUUGAUCUGCAGUACAGUAAACUAGUACAAGUUUGGAAGGAUUCAGCGAUGCUCAAAAAGCUGAAGAUUCUAAAUCUUAGUCAUUCUCAUCACCUAACAAGAUCACCAGACUUCUCAAAACUUCCAAAGCUCGAGAAAUUGAUACUCAAAGGCUGUGAGAGGUUAUCCGAGGUUCACCAGUCCAUUGGACAUCUUGAAGGACUUGCUUUGGUAAAUCUUAAAGACUGCAAAAUGCUCAAGGAGCUCCCAAUGUCUUUCUACCAGUUGAAAGCUAUUGAAACUCUGAUUCUUUCUGGCUGUUCAAAAUUUGAUAACUUGAUGAAGGAUUUAGGUCAGAUGGUAUCCUUGAGAACUCUGCUAGCUGAUAACACUGCCAUAAGAGAAAUACCAUCAUCCAUAAUACAGUUGAGUAACCUUGAAUAUUUAUCUUUAUGUGGCCUGAAACAGCGGCCAUCUAAAUUGUUUCUGACUCGCUUCUGGUCUCACCUGUUGCCAAGAAGAUGUGUAAAAUAUCCUACAUCCUUAUCAGGUUUAUAUGCUUUGAAAGAACUGUAUGUUAGAGACUGCAAUUUAAAUGACAGUUCACUUCCGAAGGAUCUUGAGAGUCUAUCUUGUUUGGAAGUAUUGAAUUUGGGAAGAAAUUGUUUCUUUAGCCUUCCAUGCCUCAGUGGUCUUCUCCAGCUUCAAGAUCUUACAUUGGAUAAUUGCAAUUUGACUGAAGAGGCCAUUACAGCUACUAAUCUUUGGACUCUACCUUCUUUAGAUUUAUUGGAUCUAAGUGGCAAUAGUUUUCGUAGCCUUCCAAGCCUCAGGGGACUUCCCAAGCUAGUCCAUCUACUUCUGGAUAAUUGCACUAAUCUUCAUGCCAUCCCAGAACUACCAACAAAUCUAGCUGUGCUGAGAGCAGAUGGCUGCACUGCAUUGGAAAGAAUGCCAAACUUUUCAGAAAUGCUGAGCAUCCGUCAGCUGAAUCUUAGUGAUUCCCCCAAACUAAGUGACAUCCCGGGCUUUGGUAACUCAUCAUACUUGCUUGAGAUUGAAAUGGAAGGCUGCAUAAAUAUCAGCAGAACUUUAAAGGAGAAAUUACAACAGAGGGGGAGUUAUGCAGGCAACUUUGGAGGCAUCUUUCUCCCUGGAAAUGACAUUCCACCGAGGUUCAUGUAUGUCAAUGAGGGUGGCAUUCUCACUUUUCAAGUGCCUCCUAAUAUAGGCAGUAAUCUGAAGGCAUUGACUGUGUGCAUUGUCUAUUCUUGUUCUUCAAAGAAAAGAGAAAAUCUGAAUAGUAUUUUCAUAUAUGUUAUAAACCAUACCAAGCACACUGUCUUUUUCGUCCGACCAUCAUCACGUCCCAAGGAAAUAAUCUCCAGUGGGGUUAUUUGGCAAGGACGCUUCUCAAACAGAAAGUUCAGUUUGGAAGGUGGAGACGACGUUGAGAUUUGUGCAGCAAUUGGUUCUCGAUUCCGGGUGAAGAAAAUUGGGGUUGAUCUUGUAUUGGAUGAAUAUACUUUCAGAGAUGUGGAUAUGAUCAAGUCUCUUCCAUAUGCUUGUUUUCGUCGUCAGAAUGAUGAUGAUGAUGAGGGAGAAAUCACAUCAACUAGUAGAGGUGGUGUUGUUACGCAUCAGCAAAUCAACUUCAACAAAUGUGUCUUGUGGUGUUUGAUUGCCGCCAUCGCAUGUUCUUAUAUAUUCAUGCACUGUUUGAUUUCAAAUUGA
RNA transcript from Fragaria vesca subsp. vesca, 4240 nucleotides. It is a transcript of the gene named TMV resistance protein N-like, with no coding region annotated. The record is from RefSeq and is a predicted model, not a curated record. Lineage: Eukaryota; Viridiplantae; Streptophyta; Magnoliopsida; Rosales; Rosaceae. The transcript is spliced from 7 exons.